RNAcentral lists this ribosomal RNA (255 nucleotides) under uncultured bacterium. Its description in RNAcentral is "partial 16S ribosomal RNA". It matches the Rfam family "Bacterial small subunit ribosomal RNA", at positions 524 to 777 of the family's 1533-position model. The record is from RNAcentral.
UACAUGGGGUGCAAACGUUGCUCGGAAUCACUGGGCGUAAAGGGUGCGUAGGCGGGUCUUUUAAGUCAGAGGUGAAAUCCUGGAGCUCAACUCCAGAACUGCCUUUGAUACUGAGGAUCUUGAGUUCGGGAGAGGUGAGUGGAACUGCGAGUGUAGAGGUGAAAUUCGUAGAUAUUCGCAAGAACACCAGUGGCGAAGGCGGCUCACUGGCCCGAUACUGACGCUGAGGCACGAAGGCGUGGGGAGCAAACAGGG